RNAcentral lists this ribosomal RNA (494 nucleotides) under uncultured bacterium. Its description in RNAcentral is "partial 16S ribosomal RNA". It matches the Rfam family "Bacterial small subunit ribosomal RNA", at positions 28 to 507 of the family's 1533-position model. The record is from RNAcentral.
GACGAACGCUGGCGGCGUGCUUAACACAUGCAAGUCGAACGGUGAAGCGCCUUCCUUUUUGGUGGGUGUGGAUGAGUGGCGAACGGGUGAGUAACACGUGAGUAACCUGUGCCCUUCUUCUGGAUAAACGGAUGAAAGUGUGGCUAAUACGGGAUAUUCUGGGUGUGUCGGAUGAUGGGUCUGGGAAAGAUAUUGUUUCGGUGGGGGAUGGGUUGGCGGUCUAUCAGCUUGUUGGGGGGGUGAGGGCCUGCCAAGGCGGUAACGAGUCGCCGGCCUGGGAGGAUGGACGGUCACACUAAGACUGAGAGACACCCCAUACUCCUACAGGAGGCAGCAGUGAAUAAUAUUGCACAAUCGACACAAGCCUGAUGCAACUACGCCGCGUGAGAGAUGUACUCCUUCGUGUUAUGAACCUCUUUCGCCAAUGAAGCAGGCCUACCUCAUUUAUUGGUGGGUUGACGUUAACUACAUAAGAAGCACCGGCUAACUACGUG